GAUGAACGCUAGCUACAGGCUUAACACAUGCAAGUCGAGGGACCGGCGCACGGGUGAGUAACACGUAUCCAACCUGCCCUUUACUCGGGGAUAGCCUUUCGAAAGAAAGAUUAAUACCCGAUAUAAAGGAUGGGGAUGCGUUCCAUUGGGUUGUUGGUGAGGUAACGGCUCACCAAGCCUUCGAUGGAUAGGGGUUCUGAGAGUAAGGCACCCCACAUUGGAACUGAGGCACGGUCCAAACUCGUACGGGAGGGAGCAGUGAGGAGGAUAAGGCAAUGGGCGCUAGCCUGAACCAGCCAAGUAGCGUGAAGGAUGAAGGCUUAUGGGUCGUAAACUUCUUGUAAAUAAGAAUAUGUAUUAUAAGAAUAAGGAUCGGCUAACUCCGUGCCAGCAGCCGCGGUAAUAC
RNAcentral lists this ribosomal RNA (406 nucleotides) under uncultured bacterium. RNAcentral describes it as "partial 16S ribosomal RNA". It matches the Rfam family "Bacterial small subunit ribosomal RNA", at positions 28 to 526 of the family's 1533-position model. The record is from RNAcentral.